Molecule: ribosomal RNA, 304 nt
Filed under: uncultured bacterium
Lineage: Bacteria
Description: partial 16S ribosomal RNA
Rfam family: Bacterial small subunit ribosomal RNA
Source: RNAcentral
CAGCAGUCGCCGCGGUAAAACGAGGGGUGCAAGCGUUAUUCGGAUUGAUUGGGUGUAAAGGGUGUGCAGACGGCUUAUUAAGUCACUUGUUAAAUUCUUCGGCCUAACUGAAGGUCUGCAAGUGAUACUGAUGAGCUAGAGGGUGGAAGAGAGAAGUGGAAUUCUCGGAGUAACGGUAAAAUGCGUAGAUCUCGAGAGGAACACCAAUGGCGAAGGCAGCUUCUUGGUCCAUUCCUGACGUUCAUACACGAAAGCGUGGGGAGCAAACAGGAUUAGAUACCCCAGUAGUCCCUGUCUCUUAUAC